GGGCAUAUAGCUCAGUGGUAGAGCACGUGCUUGGCGUGCACGAGGUCCUGGGUUCAAUUCCCAGUACCUUCA
Transfer RNA from Camelus ferus (Wild Bactrian camel), 72 nucleotides. It matches the Rfam family "tRNA". From Rfam's summary of the family: Transfer RNA (tRNA) molecules are approximately 80 nucleotides in length. Their secondary structure includes four short double-helical elements and three loops (D, anti-codon, and T loops). Further hydrogen bonds mediate the characteristic L-shaped molecular structure. tRNAs have two regions of fundamental functional importance: the anti-codon, which is responsible for specific mRNA codon recognition, and the 3' end, to which the tRNAs corresponding amino acid is attached (by aminoacyl-tRNA synthetases). tRNAs cope with the degeneracy of the genetic code in two manners: having more than one tRNA (with a specific anti-codon) for a particular amino acid; and 'wobble' base-pairing, i.e. permitting non-standard base-pairing at the 3rd anti-codon position. The record is from Rfam. Lineage: Eukaryota; Metazoa; Chordata; Mammalia; Artiodactyla; Camelidae.